UACAGAGGUCUCAAGCGUUGUUCGGAUUCAUUGGGCGUAAAGGGUGCGUAGGCGGUAAGGCAAGUCAGGUGUGAAAUCCCGGAGCUCAACUCCGGAACUGCACUUGAUACUGCCCUGCUAGAGUACUGGAGAGGAGACUGGAAUUUACGGUGUAGCAGUGAAAUGCGUAGAUAUCGUAAGGAAGACCAGUGGCGAAGGCGAGUCUCUGGACAGUUACUGACGCUGAGGCACGAAGGCCAGGGGAGCAAACGGG
This 253-nucleotide ribosomal RNA is filed under the name uncultured bacterium. Its description in RNAcentral is "partial 16S ribosomal RNA". It matches the Rfam family "Bacterial small subunit ribosomal RNA", at positions 524 to 776 of the family's 1533-position model. The record is from RNAcentral.